AAUGUCGUAACAAGGUCUCCGUUGGUGAACCAGCGGAGGGAUCAUUACCGGAGUUUACAACUCCCAAAUCCCUGCUGAACAUACCAAGUUGUUGCCUCGGCGGAUCAGCCCGCUCCCGGUAAAACCGGGAACGGCCCGCCAGAGGACCCUAAUACUCUGUUUCUAUAUGUAACCUUCUGAGUAAAACCAUAAAUAAUUCAAAAG
RNAcentral lists this unclassified non-coding RNA (204 nucleotides) under plant metagenome. Its description in RNAcentral is "partial contains small subunit ribosomal RNA and internal transcribed spacer 1". The stretch from base 1 to 47 matches the Rfam family "Eukaryotic small subunit ribosomal RNA", at positions 1785 to 1831 of the family's 1831-position model. The record is from RNAcentral.